Molecule: ribosomal RNA, 776 nt
Filed under: uncultured Neocallimastigales
Lineage: Eukaryota; Fungi; Neocallimastigomycota; Neocallimastigomycetes; Neocallimastigales
Description: partial large subunit ribosomal RNA
Rfam family: Eukaryotic large subunit ribosomal RNA
Source: RNAcentral
UACUAGAGUAGCACUCGCAUAUCAAUAAGGCGGAGGAAAAGAAACUAACAAGGAUUCCCUUAGUAACGGCGAGUGAAGCGGGAAGAGCUCAAGUUUGGAAUCUUCAAGGUUCUACCUUGACGAAUUGUAGUUUAUAGAAGUGUUUUCUGUUAGUAGAGUGGUAAAAGUUCUUUGGAAUAGGGCAUCAUAGAGGGUGAGAAUCCCGUAUUUGACCAUUACUUUCCAGCUGUGUGAUACACUUUCAAAGAGUCGGAUUGUUUGGGAAUGCAGUCCAAAAUGGGUGGUAAAUUUCAUCUAAAGCUAAAUAUUGGCGAGAGACCGAUAGCGAACAAGUACCGUGAGGGAAAGAUGAAAAGAACUUUGAAAAGAGAGUUAAACAGUACGUGAAAUUGUCAAAAGGGAAGCGUUUGACACCAGUGUUGUUUUUCCGAAAAUCAAUUACGAAUGUUUUGUUUUUGAGGAGUUAUGACUUCAUCGGCUUGCUCCUUUCUUUACGAAACUUUCUUAAUGCACUUUUCGGUUAACAAGUCAACAUCAAUUUCUUUUGUUGUAAAAGGGUAUGAGGAAGGUGGCUUUCUUUUCGGAGAAAGUGUUUACAGCCUUGUGCCUCUGCAAUCGGAGAGAUUGAGGUCUGCAGCGUAGAUCCUUCGGGGUUAGAUACAUUUGUGCUAAGUUAUAGCUUUUCAUAGACAACUUGUUGACUAUGUUUAGUCUUGUAGCUUACUCGCUUAUGCUAUUUUACCUACGCUUAGGAUGUUGAAGAUGUAGCACAUCAU